This is a long non-coding RNA of Sycon ciliatum, 295 nucleotides long. RefSeq lists it as uncharacterized. NCBI's taxonomy places the organism in Eukaryota, Metazoa, Porifera, Calcarea, Leucosolenida, Sycettidae. The record is from RefSeq and is a predicted model, not a curated record. The transcript has 4 exons.
CAACAGCGUCACUCCUAUCUGUACCGGUUGUGAGAACAAGUUUCCCAAUCUGUUGGUCUUGAAUCUGUUCGCCUUGAUUUCCCAACGUGUGUGUGAGCUUUUUUGGAUCUCUUUGCGGACUUUGGUCAACGUAGCCUCCGUCGUCUUCCUCCCGUGCCACAAGGUUUCUUCACCACUGUUGUGGUUUGGCUGUAUUCAAGGACUCAAAGAUGGCGACAAUGAACAAUCGUUCGGGAUUUUUGAUUCUCGUUGCUGCCCUUAUCGCCUGUGUUCCAUAUUGCAAUGGUAAGUUUCU